UGAUAUGCACACAGCAAAAUCACCAGUGUUAAAUUUUCAGGGAUGGUGUUAAAUACACAGUGUUGAUGCUGUUUUAACACUAUCUGGUAAUAAAAUAACACUGCCAUUGCUUGGCCAGUGUUAUAUCCACAACAGUGUCAGUGUUAAACAAGGGUGUUAUCAGAUUUCACUCUGAGCGGUGUAAAUCAAGCCACGCCUCCACUAAACAUAUCCUGUCAGGGAUUUUACCGCCAUUUUCUUUCACAGGAGGACUGAAGAGAUCAGAUGCUAGUUUGGUGAAAGUUCACACUGAGUGCUUCAAAUCAUUCAGAAGAGAUGCUGUUUUUAGGGCAGUUUAUUAAAGAAGACCUGACAUGGAUGACUUCCAAUGAGAAACGACUGCUAAUACUUAUAUAAAUUCAUUACAGAAGGACCCUACCAGACUAUAUUUGAAUACGGCAUACCCAUGAAUUCUGGAACUGUUAUUCCUUAACCCAGUUUGGAGGAUAAGAGCUUACCAACUAGUUAUAAAUAUGCUGAGGUGAUGUAUUGCAAAAUAGCCAACAUACAACAAUAUGGAUGACCCUCUGUCUGGUCAACAGGAGUUUAAAUAUGGACGGGACAGUGAUGUGGCAGCUCUUCCCUGGCUCAUUCACCUCUUGCCUUCAUUUGUGAAAGGAAGAAAGACUGGAGCGGGUCGAUGUGCAACUGAAGCUACUGAUUGUGCUGUGUGAUGAGCAUCAAUCCAUGCUUUGAGGGGGAUGAAUCAGCACAGCCCUGCCUGCUCUGCGUUGGGAACAGAAGUUGCAUCCAGAAUUUUUGCAUCAUUCUGGACCAAAACGCCAUUCCCUCCAUGAUGAAGACCACUGAUGCAGCCUUCCACUACAUCAUGAGUAAAACAACUACAGAACUAAAUACCAGGUUGGAACGUAUUUAAGAAAAAUGAAACGUCUUUUGAAUUGAAAUGUCUGUUUUGUUAUGGAAAAAUCUUUAGUAUUGUGAAGGAUAAGCAUUUCUGCCUGCCAGUAAGGUAAUUGCAGUGUAUUUUAAUGUUCAAGUUUUGAGUAGGGUGGCAAAUUUUUUUUAAACUCUCAUUUGAUAUAUUAAAGACCUUAUAAUAAGUGGUUUUCAUGUCACUGCGCUGUGGUAUAAGAUAACUUUCAUUAUUCCAUACUGUAUUCUGUAUUCUAAUUGUAGCUGAGGUAUUUAAAUAAGCAGUAUUAAAUGCAAAGUGUUGUGCAAUGUAAAUAUUAAAUGUGAUGUACUUUAAUAAAAAGAGGUUUUGCAAUAUUUCUUGUCAUUUGUCUUUUAUAGAAACAACCCAUUAGCAACAAAAGUGGCUAUUAAUCAGUAUUUUAACACUUAACAUUGUUGAAUUCACAUUACACUGGUGUUGACCUUAAAUUAGGAGUGUUAAUUUUUAACACUGUAUUUCUGUGCCAACACCAGUGUAGUGUGGAAACAACAAUGAAUAGUGUUGAACAAAGUGUAAAAUUUAACAAUAUUGAGUGUUAAAUUAACAUAUAAUGAGUGUUGUUAAAUUAACACUACACUUUUGACUAAAUUAACACAGUGUAGUGUGGACACAUAUACACACUUUUCAAGUGUUAAAUUUGACACCCUGGGUGUUAUUUUAACACCAGUGAUUUUGC
Molecule: non-coding RNA, 1631 nt
Organism: Paramisgurnus dabryanus
Lineage: Eukaryota; Metazoa; Chordata; Actinopteri; Cypriniformes; Cobitidae
Source: RefSeq, a predicted model, not a curated record